UACGGAAGGCAGCAGUGGGGAAUAUUGCACAAUGGGCGCAAGCCUGAUGCAGCCAUGCCGCGUGUAUGAAGAAGGCCUUCGGGUUGUAAAGUACUUUCAGCGGGGAGGAAGGCGAUGCGGUUAAUAACCGCGUCGAUUGACGUUACCCGCAGAAGAAGCACCGGCUAACUCCGUGCCAGCAGCCGCGGUAAUACGGAGGGUGCAAGCGUUAAUCGGAAUUACUGGGCGUAAAGCGCACGCAGGCGGUCUGUUAAGUCAGAUGUGAAAUCCCCGGGCUUAACCUGGGAACUGCAUUUUGAACUGGCAGGCUUGAGUCUUGUAGAGGGGGUAGAAUUCCAGGUGUAGCGGUGAAAUGCGUAGAGAUCUGGAGGAAUACCGGUGGCGAAGGCGGCCCCUGGGACCAAAGGACUGACGCUCAGGGUGCGAAAGCGUGGGGAGCAAACGAGGAUUAGGAUACCCGU
This 461-nucleotide ribosomal RNA is filed under the name uncultured bacterium. RNAcentral's name for it is "bacterial SSU rRNA". It matches the Rfam family "Bacterial small subunit ribosomal RNA", at positions 340 to 790 of the family's 1533-position model. The record is from RNAcentral.